Long non-coding RNA from Haliotis rubra (blacklip abalone), 390 nucleotides. RefSeq lists it as uncharacterized. The record is from RefSeq and is a predicted model, not a curated record. NCBI's taxonomy places the organism in Eukaryota, Metazoa, Mollusca, Gastropoda, Lepetellida, Haliotidae. The transcript has 3 exons.
GAAUGCAGAAACGGCUUUUACGGACAAGUCUGUCGCCCGUGUGGAGCUGGGUGUAACAACAGAUGGUGUGACAAGACUCACGGUCACUGUACAUGUAAAACCGGCUGGACGGGAACUCACUGCAACGAAUGCGGGGGCGACUAUUACAUGGACGGGGGACACUGUGUAAAGUGUAGAACAGGGUGUAAGCCGCGGACUUGUGAGCAUGACACCGGGAAGUGUACAUGUACAGCUGGGUGGACUGGAGCCAGAUGUGCCACACGGUGUGGCAGCGGCAUGUAUGGUGUUGACUGUGCACAGGACUGUUCACCUGGGUGUGAGACGUUGGGAUGUGACAGUUCAACUGGAGCGUGUCCGGGUGGACGUUGCAACCCCGGAUGGACGAACGCU